CCUACGGGAGGCAGCAGUGAGGAAUAUUGGUCAAUGGACGAAAGGCUGAACCAGCCAAGUCGCGUGAAGGAUGACUGCGCUAUGGGUUGUAAACUUCUUUUGUCAAGGAAUAAAACGAGGCACGUGUGCCUUUUUGCAUGUACUUGAUGAAUAAGGAUCGGCUAACUCCGUGCCAGCAGCCGCGGUAAUACGGAGGAUCCGAGCGUUAUCCGGAUUUAUUGGGUUUAAAGGGAGCGUAGAUGGGUUGUUAAGUCAGUUGUGAAAGUUUGCGGCUCAACCGUAAAAUUGCAAUUGAUACUGGCAGUCUUGAGUAGAGUUGAGGUAGGCGGAAUGCGCGGUGUAGCGGUGAAAUGCUUAGAUAUCACGAAGAACCCCGAUUGCGAAGGCAGCUUACUAACCUGUGACUGACAUUGAUGCUCGAAAGUGUGGGUAUCAAACAGGAUUAGAUACCCUUGUAGUC
RNAcentral lists this ribosomal RNA (460 nucleotides) under uncultured bacterium. Its description in RNAcentral is "partial 16S ribosomal RNA". It matches the Rfam family "Bacterial small subunit ribosomal RNA", at positions 338 to 795 of the family's 1533-position model. The record is from RNAcentral.